GCAGUGCCUGAAAAGCCAACUGCUGCUCCCAAACCUCCACAGCCUGAUGCCCCACAGGGCCCAGUACAGCAGCCCUUCUACCCAUUCCCCUACGUCCCUCAGCCAGAAGCCUGAACAGCAAACUUACUGGCCCCACCAGCCUGCUGAAAAGGCAACGGAUGCUCCUAAACAACCACAUCUACAACCAUAUAUUCACAACUUGUAACUUUACCCCCCUGCUACCACCUUGCAGCAACCACAACAGGUCACAGCUCACUCAAUAGGCAUUCCAUACAUGCCACCAAAUGUACUGUCCUCAGUUCUGCCCAUCUGGGAUUUCUAAUCUGCUGUCCUCAAAAUUGCUUUUCAUCCAACAUCUCCAUCAAAUAGUCCCUUCUGACUUGGCAUUCCAGAGUCACCUUCAUUCCAGUCAGGACUGCCUGUUUCCUUCCUUCAAAUGGCAUAUCUUCAAUGGCAUAUUCUGGUUUUUGGCAAGGGCUUGGAAUUUGCCUCAAAGCCAACUGAAACAUCAAUGCAACCUACCACAACAACAUCUUCACCUAUUCCUCAGUCCCUUCCAUCUCGACAUGAAAAGCAACCAAAUGUCCAACCACUAGAUGGAAUUCCUGCUGCAAAUCAUGAUUUAAUCAACCCAACAAAACCUGAAUGGUCAGUUUAUCCUUAUAGUGUACCAGGAUUAACUUAUCCUAAUUUGCAAUAUUUACCACAAGGCCAAUUGCCAUUUAAAUACAAUGUGCCUUCUAGACCACAGGCUCCAGGUAUUGAACCAGUGCUGCAAUAUGAGCCAUAUAACAUACAGGCCCAAAAGGGCCAAUUAUCACCCAGGGGCAUGAGUUAUCCAUCAGGGCCUAAUUUCAUGUCCCAUAUUGGCCAAUACCUACAACUGCAGCAUAAAGCCAAGCGGGGAAAUGUGCUUCCGGCCAAGGAACUACAGCCAUCCAACAAAAAUGCCAGUCUAUCUAAAGGUCCUGAACCUGAUCGUCUUCUGGUCCCGUACUACAUGCUUCAAGAUGCUCAAAUGCAUACCGAUGACAAAUCAAGGGCCUCUGGCAACGCCUCACAGCCAUAUGUGACUGCCUCAAAGAAAGCAAAUGAACAUGAGCAGACUGUGCACUAUUCUGAACCAAAGAGUUAUGUGCUUCUACAGCAUGGCCCACCAGGAAGGGAGUCUGAUGAUAAUCCAAAAGGACUGAGCCAACUGCUUCAGAGAUGGGGUAUGAAAAAGGAAACAGAAAUGAGUCCUUAAAUGUGAAUAAAGA
Long non-coding RNA from Notothenia coriiceps (black rockcod), 1259 nucleotides. RefSeq lists it as uncharacterized. The record is from RefSeq and is a predicted model, not a curated record. The transcript is spliced from 3 exons. NCBI's taxonomy places the organism in Eukaryota, Metazoa, Chordata, Actinopteri, Perciformes, Nototheniidae.